RNAcentral lists this ribosomal RNA (468 nucleotides) under uncultured bacterium. RNAcentral's name for it is "partial 16S ribosomal RNA". It matches the Rfam family "Bacterial small subunit ribosomal RNA", at positions 28 to 507 of the family's 1533-position model. The record is from RNAcentral.
GACGAACGCUGGCGGCGUGCUUAACACAUGCAAGUCGAACGGAAAGGCCCUGCUUUUGUGGGGUGCUCGAGUGGCGAACGGGUGAGUAACACGUGAGUAACCUGCCCUUGACGUUGGGAUAACUUCAGGAAACUGGGGCUAAUACCGGAUAGGAGCUCCUGCUGCAUGGUGGGGGUUGGAAAGUUUCGGCGGUUGGGGAUGGACUCGCGGCUUAUCAGCUUGUUGGUGGGGUAGUGGCUUACCAAGGCUUUGACGGGUAGCCGGCCUGAGAGGGUGACCGGCCACAUUGGGACUGAGAUACGGCCCAGACUCCUACGGGAGGCAGCAGUGGGGAAUAUUGCACAAUGGGCGGAAGCCUGAUGCAGCAACGCCGCGUGCGGGAUGACGGCCUUCUGGUUGUAAACCGCUUUCGCCUGUGACGAAGCGUGAGUGACGGUAAUGGGUAAAGAAGCACCGGCUAACUACGUG